This 254-nucleotide ribosomal RNA is filed under the name uncultured bacterium. RNAcentral's name for it is "partial 16S ribosomal RNA". It matches the Rfam family "Bacterial small subunit ribosomal RNA", at positions 524 to 777 of the family's 1533-position model. The record is from RNAcentral.
UACGGAGGGAGCUAGCGUUGUUCGGAAUUACUGGGCGUAAAGCGCACGUAGGCGGCUUUGUAAGUUAGAGGUGAAAGCCCGGGGCUUAACCCCGGAAUUGCCUUUAAGACUGCAUCGCUUGAAUCCGGGAGAGGUGAGUGGAAUUCCGAGUGUAGAGGUGAAAUUCGUAGAUAUUCGGAAGAACACCAGUGGCGAAGGCGGCUCACUGGACCGGUAUUGACGCUGAGGUGCGAAAGCGUGGGGAGCAAACAGGG